This 593-nucleotide ribosomal RNA is filed under the name uncultured bacterium. RNAcentral describes it as "bacterial SSU rRNA". It matches the Rfam family "Bacterial small subunit ribosomal RNA", at positions 335 to 918 of the family's 1533-position model. The record is from RNAcentral.
ACUCCUACGGGAGGCAGCAGUCGAGAAUCAUUCGCAAUGGGCGAAAGCCUGACGAUGCGACGCCGUGUGAGCGAAGAAGGCCUUAGGGUCGUAAAGCUCUUUCGCAGGGGAACAAGAAAAGUCGACUAAUAAUCGGCAGAUUUGAGCGUACCUUGUAAAGAAGCACCGGCUAACUCCGUGCCAGCAGCUGCGGUAAUACGGAGGGUGCAAGCAUUAAUCGGAUUUAUUGGGCGUAAAGGGCGCGUAGGCGGGAAUAUAAGUCAGACGUGAAAUCCCGAGGCUCAACCUCGGAACUGCAUUUGAAACUAUAUUUCUUGAGGGUAGGAGGAGAAAACGGAAUUCCACAAGUAGCGGUGAAAUGCGUAGAUAUGUGGAAGAACACCGGUGGCGAAGGCGGUUUUCUAUCUUACUCCUGACGCUGAUGCGCGAAAGCAAGGGGAUCAAACAGGAUUAGAUACCCUGGUAGUCCUUGCCGUAAACUAUGUAUACUUGGUGUAAUUGGACUCAACCCCGAUUGUGCCGGAGCUAACGCGUUAAGUAUACCGCCUGAGGAGUACAGUCGCAAAGGCUGAAACUCAAAAGAAUUGACGGGG